Molecule: ribosomal RNA, 427 nt
Filed under: uncultured bacterium
Lineage: Bacteria
Description: bacterial SSU rRNA
Rfam family: Bacterial small subunit ribosomal RNA
Source: RNAcentral
UGGGGAAUAUUCCGCAAUGGACGAAAGUCUGACGGAGCAACGCCGCGUGAGUGAUGAAGGUUUUCGGACUGUAAAGCUCUGUUGUUUAGGACGAAAGUGCCUGUUGCGAACAGUUACAGGUAUUGACGGUACUAAACGAGGAAGCCACGGCUAACUACGUGCCAGCAGCCGCGGUAAUACGUAGGUGGCAAGCGUUGUCCGGCAUUAUUGGGCGUAAAGAGCAUGUAGGCGGAGAUUUAAGUCUGUUGUGAAAAUGCGGGGCUCAACCCCGUAUUGCGAUGGAAACUGAAUUUCUUGAGUGCAGGAGAGGAAAGGGGAAUUCCCAGUGUAGCGGUGAAAUGCGUAGAUAUUGGGAGGAACACCAGUGGCGAAGGCGCCUUUCUGGACUGUGUCUGACGCUGAGAUGCGAAAGCCAGGGUAGCGAACG